Long non-coding RNA from Sciurus carolinensis (gray squirrel), 1128 nucleotides. RefSeq lists it as uncharacterized. NCBI's taxonomy places the organism in Eukaryota, Metazoa, Chordata, Mammalia, Rodentia, Sciuridae. The record is from RefSeq and is a predicted model, not a curated record. The transcript has 3 exons.
CCUGUACCCAGUUCGCUCAGAACCGAGUCCGGGAAGCUUAACUUCCAUUUAGGUGGAACCGGCGCCUCGUCCACGGUGAGGAAAAGGCCUGUUGGAGGCCCGGACGACUGUGAAGGGUACUUGUGGAGGAACUGCAACAGUGAGAUACCUUCAGUCCUCAGUCUCUCAAGACUUCUGGCUUCUUGAUAGUGCAACAAAGAUGCCAGCCCAGAGAUGGAGAAGUCAUUCAGCUCCUGGGGGAAGAAUUUCCUUGACAUCUUCCCUGUGGUCACAGACAGACCCGCCUCACCAGUUGUACAGUAUUUCCUGGAACAGAUUUAUCCUGCCAAGUUCUCUCUGAAUGUUAGUGUGGGCUCCAAUUCCUUGCUAAUCCCAACUUGUGCUGUGAAGAAGAGUCUUGCAAAUACUGAAAAAAUGGUGCAACUCCACAGGUGGAAUUAAUUCCUGGUAUUAACCAUGCUAGGUAAAGGUACCCUCUUUUAGAACUUCGAUGGUUGUUGACAAAGAGUCCCUAGCCACAUUUCCCAGGGGAUCUGCCAGAGCCUCUGCCUCCCACAUUUUUGUUAGUGCUGGUCAUCACCAGUCAGUCUGAUGGAGACAAUCCCACCUCAGUAACUGUAUAUGUGGGGGUUCAUUGGGAGGUGGAAUGUCUUUGACAUUUUUUGACCCAUUUGGUGAUUCCAUUUUGAAUUGCAGGAGUUUGUCCUUUGACCUAGUAAAAAAAAAUGAGUCAUGAAGUUUGAGUAUCCCUAGUAUCCCUUGGGUAUCCCUAGGAGGAAUAGUCAUUUCCUUUGUGACUUCUGAAACUUGUGUCACAGAAAAGCAGUUCCAACCCUAAUGUUAUGAAAGUACUUACUCUGGGGUUUUGCUUUUUACAUAUAAGCUUUGACAUGUCUGGGAUUUCCUCUUCUAAUGAAAACCAAAUGUAAUCAGUUCCUUCCAUAGGAUGUGACCAAACAGAAACCAGACUGUACUGAUCUGAAAAUCCAGAAUAGGCAUCUCACAGGGACAGAAAGAUGAGUGGUCACCUGGGACCAGGGGAAGGGAUUGAGGAGGGACUGCUUGUGGGUAGAAAAUGAGGAAAAUGCUCUGGACCUCGGCAGUGGUGAUGGCUGCGCAACAGUGAAA